RNAcentral lists this ribosomal RNA (954 nucleotides) under Autochton bipunctatus. RNAcentral describes it as "bacterial SSU rRNA". It matches the Rfam family "Bacterial small subunit ribosomal RNA", at positions 8 to 915 of the family's 1533-position model. The record is from RNAcentral. Lineage: Eukaryota; Metazoa; Arthropoda; Insecta; Lepidoptera; Hesperiidae.
AGAGUUUGAUCCUGGCUCAGGAUGAACGCUGGCGGCGUGCCUAAUACAUGCAAGUCGAACGCUUUGUGGUUCAACUGAUUUGAAGAGCUUGCUCAGAUAUGACGAUGGACAUUGCAAAGAGUGGCGAACGGGUGAGUAACACGUGGGAAACCUACCUCUUAGCAGGGGAUAACAUUUGGAAACAGAUGCUAAUACCGUAUAACAAUAGCAACCGCAUGGUUGCUACUUAAAAGAUGGUUCUGCUAUCACUAAGAGAUGGUCCCGCGGUGCAUUAGUUAGUUGGUGAGGUAAUGGCUCACCAAGACGAUGAUGCAUAGCCGAGUUGAGAGACUGAUCGGCCACAAUGGGACUGAGACACGGCCCAUACUCCUACGGGAGGCAGCAGUAGGGAAUCUUCCACAAUGGGCGAAAGCCUGAUGGAGCAACGCCGCGUGUGUGAUGAAGGGUUUCGGCUCGUAAAACACUGUUGUAAGAGAAGAAUGACAUUGAGAGUAACUGUUCAAUGUGUGACGGUAUCUUACCAGAAAGGAACGGCUAAAUACGUGCCAGCAGCCGCGGUAAUACGUAUGUUCCAAGCGUUAUCCGGAUUUAUUGGGCGUAAAGCGAGCGCAGACGGUUAUUUAAGUCUGAAGUGAAAGCCCUCAGCUCAACUGAGGAAUUGCUUUGGAAACUGGAUGACUUGAGUGCAGUAGAGGAAAGUGGAACUCCAUGUGUAGCGGUGAAAUGCGUAGAUAUAUGGAAGAACACCAGUGGCGAAGGCGGCUUUCUGGACUGUAACUGACGUUGAGGCUCGAAAGUGUGGGUAGCAAACAGGAUUAGAUACCCUGGUAGUCCACACCGUAAACGAUGAGUGCUAGGUGUUUGAGGGUUUCCGCCCUUAAGUGCCGCAGCUAACGCAUUAAGCACUCCGCCUGGGGAGUACGACCGCAAGGUUGAAACUCAAAGGAAUUGACG